AUAUUUUUUUUAUCUGCUAAUGGUCCUCACUCUCUCUUACUUUACCAUUUCUCACUCCUUCAAUGGUCCUUACUCCCUCACUUACCACUCUACUUUUCAAUAAAAUAAUAAUAGUUUUAUUAUUUUUUCUUAUAAAUUUUUAUUACCUAAUUUACCCCAUUAAAACUCUGUGCAGUCUCCAAUCUAGCUUUAAAAAAAAAAUGUCACUAUUAAUCCCAACUUUGCUCCGUCCGCCACUUUUAAUCCCAAUAAUUUGCCCAAAUUAAUUAAUUAAAGGCGGCUUAAAGGAAUUGAAAGCGCACUCCUUAAUAUCACUUUCACGUUCUUUUGUCACUUUCACUUUACUAAACCUUAAAAAAAAAAAUCAAAGUACUGCUUGUUUAUUGCUUCAAUUCGUGAAACCUCCACCGCUGUAAUAAUUAACCUUCAGCCGCUGACUCACCGCUCCACCGCCGCACCACCGAUCGCCGCACAACUUCUGAGCACUGCACCACUCCGCUGAGAAAACUUUCCUAAUUCAUGUUCAAGAUGGUAAUCAUUAGAAGUACAUUGCAAUAACAGUCAGAGUUUACAGCUAUCUGCUGUGUCGACUAGUGAUAUUCAGAGGCCACCUGAGCUUUCUUUCAACAGGUUGCAGUCUUGUGACAAGGAGUGUGAUGGAUUACAUAGGCAUAAAUUUGAAAGCUUUAUACUGCUGUCUUGUACUGGGGUAGGAGAGGUGAUGGUCUAUGGUCUAUAUAAUAAAAACUUGUAUAUGUAUAAAUACAAUAGCUUAACAACUUUUGUAAUUGAUUUUGUAAUCACUCUAAUCCAACCAAUUCAACUAUUAGUUUGAAGGAA
Chenopodium quinoa (quinoa) is the source of this 840-nucleotide long non-coding RNA. RefSeq lists it as uncharacterized. The record is from RefSeq and is a predicted model, not a curated record. The transcript has 2 exons. NCBI's taxonomy places the organism in Eukaryota, Viridiplantae, Streptophyta, Magnoliopsida, Caryophyllales, Amaranthaceae.